Molecule: ribosomal RNA, 483 nt
Filed under: uncultured bacterium
Lineage: Bacteria
Description: partial 16S ribosomal RNA
Rfam family: Bacterial small subunit ribosomal RNA
Source: RNAcentral
AUUGAACGCUGGCGGCAGGCCUAACACAUGCAAGUCGAGCGGAUGAAGGGAGCUUGCUCCUGGAUUCAGCGGCGGACGGGUGAGUAAUGCCUAGGAAUCUGCCUGGUAGUGGGGGAUAACGUCCGGAAACGGGCGCUAAUACCGCAUACGUCCUGAGGGAGAAAGUGGGGGAUCUUCGGACCUCACGCUAUCAGAUGAGCCUAGGUCGGAUUAGCUAGUUGGUGGGGUAAAGGCCUACCAAGGCGACGAUCCGUAACUGGUCUGAGAGGAUGAUCGGUCACACUGGAACUGAGACACGGUCCAGACUCCUACGGGAGGCAGCAGUGGGGAAUAUUGGACAAUGGGCGAAAGCCUGAUCCAGCCAUGCCGCGUGUGUGAAGAAGGUCUUCGGAUUGUAAAGCACUUUAAGUUGGGAGGAAGGGCAGUAAGUUAAUACCUUGCUGUUUUGACGUUACCAACAGAAUAAGCACCGGCUAACUUCGU